This is a long non-coding RNA of Fukomys damarensis (Damara mole-rat), 1205 nucleotides long. RefSeq lists it as uncharacterized. Lineage: Eukaryota; Metazoa; Chordata; Mammalia; Rodentia; Bathyergidae. The record is from RefSeq and is a predicted model, not a curated record. The transcript has 3 exons.
CCCUGGAGGACAGAGCAAGGGAGGGCCAGCUCCCUGUGCAGCUGACUAGUCGCCAAAGUUUGGGACAUGCAGAAAGGUAUGAGUGAUGGCUCUCCCAGCUGUGAAGGAGUCCUUGUCAUUCUGUGGGAGGCAGCGAAGAUUGAAUGCAGGCUCACUGCACCUUGAUUGGCCAUUUGAACCUUCUGCCAUUGGAUGUCUAGUGGAAGGAACUUCUUAUUCAUGUACUAGGCCCUGCGGCUUUGUUCUGAGGUGCCAACAGGGACAAGGGUGUGCUUACUUUGUUGCCAAAUGGUCCUCGUGAGUUCCAUACCUAGAAGCUGCACCAAGGACAGAAUUGCUGCGUGCUUUCUGUGAUUUACCAGGCCUCUGUAUGACUAUCUCUUCCAUGAGGCAAGCAUGUUUCCGUGACUACCGAUCCUGAAAGCGUCCACCAGGUGGUGUGCAGGACCAGGGCCAAAGCACUGUGGGCUGGCCAGCCCUCAGAGGACUGCUGCAUAGCUGGCAGUGUGAGGAGAAGUGGACUGCAUUGCUAAGCACUCCAUCAGCAUUCCACUUGAGGCAAGCUAGACAGGGCGGUUUCAGCAUGUGCCUAAAGAUGCACUGAAGAUCAGGUGAAUGCCGCACAGUAGGAGUGAGGGCUCUGUGUGGGCUAUUGAAAGGGCCUCAGUGGUCUGUCUGAGUCAAAACUAUGGGAAUGGAGGCUCACUGUAUGGCUCUCCACUGUAUUGGGGCGUGCUGUCUGCCAUCUUUGGGAAUUCAAGCUGACUGCAGGGCUAUGCCCUGUUCCUUUCUCCACAGGUUGCAGGCUGAAGUGACGGCAGGCUGACUGACUCAUGAAGCAUUCCUUGUCAGAUGGUUGGCCUCAGGCUGAGGUGGCUGUAUGCAUGCUCUGGAGAGCAGGAGCACUCUGUGUGAGUAGCAGUUCCUGAACAGUCUCCUGUUCAGAGCCUGGGAUGACAGUGAACUCACUUCCUGCCAGUCUGCACCUCCACGUUGCAGUGCAGGGAGGACGACGCCACGGGGUUCUCACCAUGUGACGAACAGACAGCUGUAUGCAUGCUGUGGAGAGCAUGAACACUCUGCAUGUAUAUUUGUUCCUAAAGAUUCGGCUUCAUGUAGCCUGGGAUUUGAGCGAAAUGACUUUGUGCUAGUCUGCAGCUCAAAGUUUCACUGGAAGGACGAUGCCUCCAGGUGGUUCUCACAAU